AUGGCGAAAUCCACAAAGAAAGCCAAAUAUUACACACACGAAGAAGCCCUUGCUUUGAUUUUGGCUUCAUCGGAGGACAGCGAAGACAGCCAAUAUGAUUCCGAGAUAGAGGACAUGUUCAAGGAACAAUUGGACGACGUCUUAGAUCGGUCAAUGUCUGAGGACAGUGAUGCGGAUUGGGAGCCGCAAAGCCAGACAGGCAGACCCCCGGCCCCCACUCCUACUGAAGGUGGUCGUGAGAGAUCGCACUCUGCAGCCACCAGUGCUACCUCCCCCGCUGCAUCGCCCACCGCCACACCAACGACUGGCCGUUCCCGUGCUGCACGACGUGUCCGGGGGAGGGGCAGGUAGUGUCUCAUCACAUGACAAUAUCUCAAUAUGGCCAUAUCAAAUGAAUGUGUGAAAAAAUUAUGUUUUGAAUCAUGGAGAAAGGUUUUAUAGUCACCAAAAUGCUUCAGUAAUGUUUCCAGUGUCACAGAAGUGAGUAAAUGCAUUUGGCACAAUUUGGCCAUUUUGGAGACAUUUUGGAGAGGUUUGGGCCGCCAGUGACCACACACCAUAAAAACUCCAUUAAGGCAACACUAAGAGGUUGUUGAACAUGGCUUUGUGUCAUAUAAACAAAUAUCUGUGAUCCAGUUUUUGUUUUCUUUUGUCUUUAUUGUGCAAUACUAUUUUUACAUUCAAAUGACAUCACUGCAGCACAAAUAUACUUCCUUUCAUUUAACAUUAACAAUCAACAAAGCUAUCUAGAGCAAAUUCAGAGUCUCUGUAAGUGAACAUUGAGAAGACAUUGGUAAAGUCAUUCAGGUAACUGCAAUGGUGUUUUCUUUUUCAUUUUCUUUCUGUAGUAUGGGACUGUGAGGUUGCCGCCAUCUGCCUGUUGCUUCACCUGUUGCCUCCAACAUCCAAGGGCAAGAAGUCUGCAAAGAUCAGCGCAACGGAUGCUACUGUCCGCCUGGUGAAGUUCCUUAAGGUCUGUUCUUACAAUUGUGUUUAAAGUAUUUUAGUAGUAUUGGGUUCUCAAGGGCUGAUAGUAAUUUUGUGACAUGGGGUGCAGCAGAUUUCUUCUUUUGGAAAAAAAAAAAAAGGUUUCUAACAAGUGCAGCUUUGUCCUAAUUUGAAAUUAUUUGCUUGUGAAAUGAAAAAGAAUUUUGUUCCUCUAGUCAUUGAAGAUUGUAUCCUAAUUCUAGGAAACAGUCCUGGCAUUCCACACCAAAUCCCGACAUUUUAUUCCAUGGAAUUCAUUCUCUCCCUCUCUCUUAGGUGGGGAGAAGCAUGGAGACCUUCCUGAAGGAAACUGGCCCUGCUCAGCCCUUUCUCCUGUGUGUUGGAGAACGAAAAAACAGCAUCCAGAAUUUCUACAUCAUCCUGGACCAAAAGGCCAUUCCCUCCAAGACGCAGACUGGAGUUGCUGCCUUUGACGAGCUCUUCAAGGCACAUUUUGCUUUUGCUGUGUCCUAUGAUGAGGCGCUAUCCAACUUCUACACCUUCAUCCAGACAACCGUGUAUGGCAUUGACGUUGGCAGUGUGAAGGAGACCCCUCGGGUGAAGGAAAUUAGAGUAAGACUUCUUCACAGUUCAUUUUGAAGAGGAACUCAUUUAUGUUCAUUGAAGAGGAACAUACAUACAUGUAUGUAUGUUCUGGUGUUGAAAAUGAGAUGCUGUUGUUCAACAGGAUUGUCAGUGUUAUUGUAAGAGAUGACAGCGCUUAUCUUCUAACUUGUACUGUCUCAACAAUGCAUUUAGCAUUGAGGAGAAAAACAAUGUCUUUACACUGAUGUGUGUAGAUGAUCUGCUGUACUACAGGCCGUAUGACAGGCAAUUAUCAAAUUACACUGACGACCAAAUGUUUAUUGUGCCAUACUGUUUUCGUGUGACUCCAUGCUGUACAUGUUUUUAAGAAUGUUUUGCAUUUGUGCUGUACCUGCCUUUAAUACACUAUUUUGUGAAAUGAUUUUUUUUUUUCUUCUUGUAUUGUCUUUUGUAUUGUGGUUUUGGCUGGGGGGGGGGGGGGGGGGGGCCGUCGUCCACAACAUUCUACACCCUCAGUGUUAUUUUUUUUACACCUGUAAGUGUUGAUAAAUUGGAGUCCAGUGUAGUUUCUAGUGUAAUAUUAACACUGCUCAGUGUUGAUUCUAUAACACUACGAGCCUAGUGUAGAGUAUUAUUAACACUACUUGGUGUUGGCCAGUGCUGAUUUUUUAACACUGACACUAGUGUUGAGUAUUAUUAAAACUACUCAGUGUUGGCCAGUGUUGAUUUUCAACUCGAUUUAGUGUGGAAUUAACUCUGAGUGUAAAAUCAUUAACACUUUCAAAAGUGUCACUUUAACACCGAAAAGAGUGGAUGCAUAUGCACACUUUCUAAGUGUUAAAAUUGACACUCACAGAGUUGAUUUAACACUAGCGAUUUUGCUGUGUACAGCCAAGGGGAACCCAUGGGAAACCCUUAAGGGAAACCCCGUAAUGUAUAUUAGCUAGCUAGCCAUAAUGGUUAUUCUCAGUACUUUAAUGGCUAAAACCCCGAGCGACUCUGUGAUGCUGUCUGGUCAACACAUUCUCACUCCGAGCGCGUCGAUUUCUGACGAACGGUCAGUGACUUUGGCUUCAGUUUCUGACACAAAAG
Molecule: long non-coding RNA, 2625 nt
Organism: Gadus morhua (Atlantic cod)
Lineage: Eukaryota; Metazoa; Chordata; Actinopteri; Gadiformes; Gadidae
Source: Ensembl